GAUUAACGCUGGCGGCGUGCCUAACACAUGCAAGUCGAACGAGGUAGCAAUACCUAGUGGCAGACGGGUGAGUAACGCGUGGUCAACCUACCGUUGAGUGGGGGAUAACUAGCCGAAAGGUUAGCUAAUACCGCAUACGUCUCCGAGUGGCAUCACUUGGCGAUAAAAGGAGCAAUCCGCUCGAUGACGGGACCGCGUCCCAUUAGCUAGAUGGUGGGGUAACGCCUACCAUGGCACCGAUGGGUAGCUGGUUUGAGAGAGCGACCAGCCACACUGGGACUGAGAAACGGCCCAGACUCCUACGGGAGGCAGCAGUGGGGAAUAUUGCGCAAUGGGCGAAAGCCUGACGCAGCGACGCCGCGUGAGGGAUGAAGGCCUUCGGGUU
Molecule: ribosomal RNA, 385 nt
Filed under: uncultured bacterium
Lineage: Bacteria
Description: bacterial SSU rRNA
Rfam family: Bacterial small subunit ribosomal RNA
Source: RNAcentral